RNAcentral lists this ribosomal RNA (440 nucleotides) under uncultured bacterium. RNAcentral's name for it is "partial 16S ribosomal RNA". It matches the Rfam family "Bacterial small subunit ribosomal RNA", at positions 338 to 795 of the family's 1533-position model. The record is from RNAcentral.
CCUACUGGUGGCAGCAGUGGGGAAUAUUUCACAAUGGGGGAAACCCUGAUGCAGCGACGCCGCGUGAGUGAAGAAGUAUCUCGGUAUGUAAAGCUCUAUCAGCAGGGAAGAAAAUGACGGUACCUGACUAAGAAGCCCCGGCUAACUACGUGCCAGCAGCCGCGGUAAUACGUAGGGGGCAAGCGUUAUCCGGAUUGACUGGGUGUAAAGGGAGCGUAGAAGGCCCUGCAAGUCCGGAGGGAAAGCCCAGGGUUUAACCAUUGUACUGCUCUGGAAACUGUGGAGCUUGAGGGCGGGAGGGGCAGGCGGAAUGCCUAGUGUAGCGGUGAAAUGCGUAGAUAUUAGGAGGAACACCGGCGGCGAAGGCGGAUUGCUGGACCGUAACUGACGUUGAGGCUCGAAAGCGUGGGGAGCAAACAGGAUUAGAUACCCGUGUAGUC